GCAAGGAAUCUUGCGCAAUGGGCGAAAGCCUGACGCAGCGACGUCGCGUGGGGGAUGAAGGCCUUCGGGUUGUAAACCCCUUUUCUCAGGGAAGAAAACACUGACGGUACCUGAGGAAUAAGUCUCGGCUAACUACGUGCCAGCAGCCGCGGUAAUACGUAGGAGGCGAGCGUUAUCCGGAUUUACUGGGCGUAAAGCGAGCGCAGGCGGCUUUCUAAGUCGGAUGUGAAAUCUCCUGGCUUAACUGGGAGGGGCCGUCCGAAACUGGGGAGCUGGAGUGCAGCAGAGGGAAGCGGAAUUCCCGGUGUAGUGGUGAAAUACGUAGAUAUCGGGAGGAACACCAGUGGCGAAAGCGGCUUUCUGGGCUGUUACUGACGCUGAGGCUCGAAAGCGUGGGGAGCAAACAGGAUUAGAUACCCGGGUAGUCC
RNAcentral lists this ribosomal RNA (428 nucleotides) under uncultured bacterium. RNAcentral describes it as "bacterial SSU rRNA". It matches the Rfam family "Bacterial small subunit ribosomal RNA", at positions 354 to 796 of the family's 1533-position model. The record is from RNAcentral.